AUUGGUAUCAUCUGCAAAUAAUUUCGAGAAUAAUGAAGAACAAUGAGUUAUGUCAUUAACAUAUACUAAAAAUAACAAUGGACCCAAACAGCUACCUUGUGGAACUCCAUGAGUCACUGAUUUUAGAAGAGGAAUUACUCUUGCAAUUUUGAGAGAAGAAGGAAAUAUGCCGA
Molecule: non-coding RNA, 173 nt
Organism: Styela clava
Lineage: Eukaryota; Metazoa; Chordata; Ascidiacea; Stolidobranchia; Styelidae
Source: RefSeq, a predicted model, not a curated record